RNAcentral lists this transfer RNA (71 nucleotides) under Heliconius melpomene (postman butterfly). RNAcentral's name for it is "tRNA HMEL014251". It matches the Rfam family "tRNA". Rfam says of the family: Transfer RNA (tRNA) molecules are approximately 80 nucleotides in length. Their secondary structure includes four short double-helical elements and three loops (D, anti-codon, and T loops). Lineage: Eukaryota; Metazoa; Arthropoda; Insecta; Lepidoptera; Nymphalidae. The record is from RNAcentral.
GCAUCGGUGGUUCAGUGGUAGAAUGCUCGCCAGCCACGCGGGCGGCCGGGGUUCGAUUCCCGGCCGAUGCA